GCCACCUCAGAGCCGGCCAGGUAGAAGAUGAUCUCAUAGUUCUUCAACACAUCCACCAGGCGGCCUGGGGAGGAGGAGGAAGAGGAGGGAGAGAUGUAAAACCUCAUGUGGAUUCUGCCAUUUGAAACCUUAAAAAUGUCACUUGCUGUCCCUGGACCUCAAUUGCUUAAGUGAUAUGUGGCUUCUGAGACAGGGUUUUGCCAUGUUGCCCCGGCUGGUUUCAGACUUCUGGCCUCAGCCCCCCAAAGCGCUGGGAUUACAUGCAUGAGCCACUACACCCGACCAGGAAAAUCUCUUAAUUGCAAGUAUUUCCCCCUAAAGUGUGGUUUGUCUGUGUGCUCCACCCUCUCUCUAGGUCAUUCUCCUCACCCCAUGCACCUCCUCUGCCCAUCAGAUCCAUCCAGAUUCACACAAGAAAUGGAAGACGGUUCCUUGAGGCCUGGGCAGGCUGGUUUUGUGGCCUGCCCACACACUGGCUCAGGGACUUUGCCGUUCUCACUGGGUCAGGUGGGAUGACAGAGCUCAGUGAGGGCACUCGAUUAGCCCAGCCCUGAAGGAAGGACGAGCAGCUCACCCCAUCUCAGUGCAGCCUGCGGCCCCCGCAAGGUGUCCUCCCUGGUUACUGCACCAUCUCACAGCCCUCUAGCCUCUGGGACUCAAAGGCAGGCUCCCUUGCUGUUUCAAGAUAACUUGACAACCCAGGAAAACCCUCAUGUCCCCCACUCCCACCUUUCCAAUUUUGGUUCCUGCCUUGCUUGCAUAAGGACGCUGUUCCCCCCCAACAAGCCCUGCCCAUCCAUGCUGUGCCUUCACCUGGGGGAUAUUCCAGGAAGCCUUCCCUGACCACCCUCAUGACGAUGACUUCCUAAGGGUGACGGUGACAAGUGCCAGCAGGCCAUCUGCACAGUGAAAGACACCAGUGCUUCUCCCCAUCUGCCCGCUGAGCACCCCCACUCUGUUUCUGGCCCCAACACCAGUUUCCCAAAGAUACUGUCCCCAUUCCAGUCACCAUUCUAGAUGCACCAUUCUAAAGGCGUGGGCAUUUAGCAGCAGGUACACUGAGGCUCUCAUUCUGGGGCUGCAACUUGCGCUAAGGCUUUGUGCCUCAGUUUCCUCAUCUGCAAAAUGAGAAUAAGCACCUGCGCUCCAGAUGGCCUUGUGCCAACUGCUUGGGAUGGCAGAUCUGGCCAGCUACCAGUGUUGCUUUCUUCCCUGCACCUUCCUGGGCUUUUCUGUCCUCACCCAGAGCGGGCGGUCCGGCUUGGAGGAGGGACUAACUGGCCGUGAAGGGGAGUCCACCCACCCGACUGCCCCUUCCCCUCAUCCCUGGAAGUUCCAUCUGAGACAGGGGGAUGGAGCUUCCCUGGGUCUAAGGGGCACUAGGCUCGCCACCCCCUCUUCCUUCGGGGCGCACCG
RNAcentral lists this long non-coding RNA (1416 nucleotides) under Homo sapiens (human). RNAcentral describes it as "HSALNT0406036". Lineage: Eukaryota; Metazoa; Chordata; Mammalia; Primates; Hominidae. The record is from RNAcentral.